CGGUAUAGGGGUUUGAACAUAAUCAGGAGUUCACAGGUAAUUGUGAUCCAUGAGUUGGGUUAAUAACGUCAGUAAGACAGUUAGUAUCCUAUCU
RNAcentral lists this ribosomal RNA (94 nucleotides) under Chromera velia. Its description in RNAcentral is "partial large subunit ribosomal RNA fragment rnl11". The record is from RNAcentral. Lineage: Eukaryota; Chromeraceae.